AUUAUCCCACAGCCCAGACUCCUUUAAGGGCAGCUGGCACAACAUUAAGAAUCAUCCUCUCUCCUCCAGCUCUCAGAGAUGGAGACAGACAGACUCCUGCUAUGGGUGCUGCUGCUCUGGGUUCCAGGCUCCACUGGUGACACUGUGCUGACCCAGUCUCCUGCUUUGGCUGUGUCUCCAGGAGAGAGGGUUACCAUCUCCUGUAGGGCCAGUGAAAGUGUCAGUACAGGUAUGCACUGGUACCAACAGAAACCAGGACAGCAACCCAAACUCCUCAUCUACGGUGCAUCCAACCUAGAAUCUGGAGUCCCUGCCAGGUUCAGUGGCAGUGGGUCUGGGACAGACUUUACCCUCACCAUUGAUCCUGUGGAGGCUGAUGAUACUGCAACCUAUUUCUGUCAGCAGAGUUGGAAUGAUCCUCCCACAGUGCUCCAGGGCUGAACAAAAACCUCCUGUGUUUGCAGCUCACUGAGGUUCAGUGUCUCAGUUCUCUCUUCCUCUCUGACCUCUCAACACAGAGCUCUAAGCUGUUUUGGAAAAUGAUCUCAAAUAAUGAAACAAGCUUUUAUAAACAGA
Non-coding RNA from Rattus norvegicus (Norway rat), 576 nucleotides. NCBI's taxonomy places the organism in Eukaryota, Metazoa, Chordata, Mammalia, Rodentia, Muridae. The record is from the annotation of a RefSeq genome assembly.